AAAUAUUCUGUAACAGACUGAGUAGCUUUACGAGCAAUAGCAAGCUGCGAAUGGAUUUGGAUGGCCUUAGCUUUUGAUUGUGUAGCAAAAGUAGUGUGAAGAGAUGUUCAAACUGCAUGAGAAGUAGGGCAUUGUGCUACUUGCAUCAGUAUAUCAUCGGUAAGAGAGGCAUUAAUAUAACUGAGAAGAAGAUUGUCUUGGGUUUCC
This 207-nucleotide long non-coding RNA is filed under the name Populus trichocarpa (black cottonwood). RNAcentral's name for it is "long non-coding RNA (PTRI_LNC004522)". Lineage: Eukaryota; Viridiplantae; Streptophyta; Magnoliopsida; Malpighiales; Salicaceae. The record is from RNAcentral.